GGGUGUAAGGUGGAUGUGGCUGGGACCUCGUUUGCUGUCCCAUUGAUCAGGAGUGUUGAUUUAGCUGAUCUGGCUGGCUAGGCGGUGUCCUCUUCCUCCCUCCCCCCUGCGUGUAUCUGCAUGUCCCUCCUGAAGCCGUGUGCUCCUCUUGGUCCAAGAGAAAGAGCUUCCCCUACACAGGAAAGCCUUCCUUUGGUCAAGGGUAUCGGAGUAGCUGUGCACCCCAUGGGAACCAGCCCGUAAACUCUCAAGUUCCAUUCGUAGGAGAACAUAGUGUAGUCAUGCUUUUAAGACUUGAGAUACAUCAGAGUGAGGUACUUCAUGUAGCAGUCUGUCUGUCUUU
This is an unclassified non-coding RNA of 343 nucleotides. Its record names the gene 7SK. It matches the Rfam family "7SK RNA". From Rfam's summary of the family: 7SK was discovered as an abundant small nuclear RNA in the mid-70s but a possible function has only recently been suggested. Two independent studies have found that 7SK RNA binds the CDK9/cyclin T complex (known as elongation factor P-TEFb). The record is from Ensembl.